RNAcentral lists this ribosomal RNA (423 nucleotides) under Salmonella enterica subsp. enterica. RNAcentral's name for it is "bacterial LSU rRNA". It matches the Rfam family "Bacterial large subunit ribosomal RNA", at positions 1 to 454 of the family's 2925-position model. Lineage: Bacteria; Pseudomonadati; Pseudomonadota; Gammaproteobacteria; Enterobacterales; Enterobacteriaceae. The record is from RNAcentral.
GGGUUGUGAGGUUAAGCGACUAAGCGUACACGGUGGAUGCCCUGGCAGUCAGAGGCGAUGAAGGACGUGCUAAUCUGCGAUAAGCGCCGGUAAGGUGAUAUGAACCGUUAUAACCGGCGAUUUCCGAAUGGGGAAACCCAGUGUGACUCGUCACACUAUCAUUAACUGAAUCCAUAGGUUAAUGAGGCGAACCGGGGGAACUGAAACAUCUAAGUACCCCGAGGAAAAGAAAUCAACCGAGAUUCCCCCAGUAGCGGCGAGCGAACGGGGAGGAGCCCAGAGCCUGAAUCAGCAUAUGUGUUAGUGGAAGCGUCUGGAAAGGCGCGCGAUACAGGGUGACAGCCCCGUACACAAAAGCGCAUGUGCUGUGAGCUCGAUGAGUAGGGCGGGACACGUGGUAUCCUGUCUGAAUAUGGGGGGACC